GUGGUUAUAUUGCUGCAUCCAAGGUUUGUUGCUUAUUUAUUUGUCCCUAAUCUUAGGUGUAAUGCAAUUCCAAGUUAUUAAGGAGAAUAUGUCACCAAGGCAUUUUUUGUCACCAUAUUUUAUUUCACCUUUUCUCACUGUUAAAUUGUUUUACCCAUAAUCAUAAUAAGUGUUUUAUUGUUCUAGUGAAGCCUUUACAUUCUUCAUUUUAAAGAAUUUCAAUAUUAUAUAAGGCUUGGUUGGAUUGGAAAUUGUGAAUCAGAAAGGUAACAGCAAAACUUUUUGCGUCAGGUCUCUGUCUUUAGUCAUAUGUAAAACAAAAGGCAACAACUUGGCGGUUCCCUUGUUCUCAUUAAGAACUUUCUUUCACCAUGUUUGGUUUUUCCUCUAUACAAAGUUGAAAUCACUGUAUGAUCAGUGAGACUCACAUCUAUUUAGAGCUUAUCAUGACGAUCCUUGUUGGCCCUGUCAAAUUUUCAAUAAAGUAUCAUCAGUUGAAUGAUUUGGUCAUGCCCACUAGUUCUAGAUAUCAUGGAGGAUGUCAACUGUGGACACUGAACUUUCAUAAUUUGCUUAUUUCACAGUUUUCCCUAUUGCAGCAUAUCUAAUAUUGGUUCUAUUUGAUUAAUACAGUUGUGAAUAUUUUAUGUUUGCCUGAUGUCUAAGUUUGCUUCUUGUUUUAGGAGGUUAUACAAUAUCUU
This 701-nucleotide unclassified non-coding RNA is filed under the name Hevea brasiliensis (rubber tree). Lineage: Eukaryota; Viridiplantae; Streptophyta; Magnoliopsida; Malpighiales; Euphorbiaceae. The record is from RNAcentral.